Molecule: long non-coding RNA, 218 nt
Organism: Papaver somniferum (opium poppy)
Lineage: Eukaryota; Viridiplantae; Streptophyta; Magnoliopsida; Ranunculales; Papaveraceae
Exons: 3
Source: RefSeq, a predicted model, not a curated record
GGGACAACCAGAGGCUAAAUUAGAGCUGAGGUCGCAGGAAUCAUUUUAAAUACAUGCUCUGGCCAAAUUUCAAGGUUGCGGCUCAGUGCGACACUAAGAUGAGAUAUUUGAAUAUGCCAACAUCAAUGAAGAUUUAUGAUCUAAAAUUGUUGUAGUACAACAGCAGCUGACUAAGCUUCUGCUAGAAGAGACAUGUGAUUAAAUAGAAGAUCGGAGUU